RNAcentral lists this ribosomal RNA (433 nucleotides) under uncultured bacterium. Its description in RNAcentral is "partial 16S ribosomal RNA". It matches the Rfam family "Bacterial small subunit ribosomal RNA", at positions 29 to 507 of the family's 1533-position model. The record is from RNAcentral.
AACGAACGCUGGCGGCAUGCCUAACACAUGCAAGUCGAACGAGACCUUCGGGUCUAGUGGCGCAUGGGUGCGUAACGCGUGGGAACCUGCCCUUAGGUUUGGAAUAACUCCCCGAAAGGGGUGCUAAUACCGGAUAUUGUCUUCGGACCAUAGAUUUAUCGCCUUUGGAUGGGCCCGCGUUGGAUUAGCUAGUUGGUAGGGUAAAAGCCUACCAAGGCGAGGAUCCAUAGCUGGUCUGAGAGGAUGAUCAGCCACACUGGGACUGAGACACGGCCCCGACUCCUACGGGAGGCAGCAGUGGGGAAUACUGGACAACGGGCGAAGGGCUGAUCCAGUCAUGACGCGUAAGUAAUGAAGGCCUUAGGGUUGUAAAGCACUUUUACCCGGGACGAUAAUGACAGUACCGGGAGGAUAAGCUCCGGCUAACUCCGUG